This 333-nucleotide unclassified non-coding RNA is filed under the name Hevea brasiliensis (rubber tree). Lineage: Eukaryota; Viridiplantae; Streptophyta; Magnoliopsida; Malpighiales; Euphorbiaceae. The record is from RNAcentral.
GCCGGACGACUUUGGGAUGGGCUCCGUAAGUGGCCCGUCCUUCAAGUAAGGCACGAUGUAUUUUUUCAUAUCGCUCCGGUUGAUACGAAGAUGACCACCAGGGACACUGAUGAACUUAACCCUCCCAGCUUCAUCCAAGGCUCUCAAGCCAAUCCAGUCCUCCUUGUAGAGAGUGGUCUGUUGUGGAGGCAAAACUGGAUCAAAGGCGCCAUCGGGAUAAUAUCCGAACCAUGAUGUCUCCGGAGGAACCAAGACUUUGUCAUUCUCGGCCAUGAUAAGAACCAAAUUCUGUAAUCUACUGAACCUUUCCUUAUAGGUAGAAUUCCUUUCAUU